UCCGAUAGCGCACAAGUAGAGUGAUCGAAAGAUGAAAAGCACUUUGGAAAGAGAGUCAACCAGCACGUGAAAUUGUUGAAAGGGAAGCGCUCGCAGCCAGGCUUGCUUGCAGUUGCUCAUCCGGGCUUUUGCCCGGUGCACUCUUCUGUAGGCAGGCCAGCAUCAGUUUGGGCGGUGGGAUAAAGGUCUCUGUCACGUACCUCUCUUCGGGGAGGCCUUAUAGGGGAGACGACAUACCACCAGCCUAGACUGAGGUCCGCGCAUCUGCUAGGAUGCUGGCGUAAUGGCUGUAAGCGGCCCGUCUUGAAACACGGACCAAGGAGUCUAACAUCUAUGCGAGUGUUUGGGUGUCAAGCCCGAGCGCGUAAUGAAAGUGAACGGAGGUGGGAACCCGCAAGGGUGCACCAUCGACCGAUCCUGAAGUUUUCGGAAGGAUUUGAGUAAGAGCAUGGCUGUUGGGACCCGAAAGAUGGUGAACUAUGCUUGAAUAGGGUGAAGCCAGAGGAAACUCUGGUGGAGGCUCGCAGCGGUUCUGACGUGCAAAUCGAUCGUCAAAUUGGGCAUAGGGGCGAAAGACUAAUUCGAAC
RNAcentral lists this ribosomal RNA (587 nucleotides) under Phialemonium inflatum. RNAcentral's name for it is "partial large subunit ribosomal RNA". It matches the Rfam family "Eukaryotic large subunit ribosomal RNA", at positions 333 to 940 of the family's 3401-position model. The record is from RNAcentral. Lineage: Eukaryota; Fungi; Ascomycota; Sordariomycetes; Cephalothecales; Cephalothecaceae.